Molecule: transfer RNA, 57 nt
Filed under: Heterocephalus glaber (naked mole-rat)
Lineage: Eukaryota; Metazoa; Chordata; Mammalia; Rodentia; Bathyergidae
Rfam family: tRNA
About the family: Transfer RNA (tRNA) molecules are approximately 80 nucleotides in length.
Source: Rfam by way of RNAcentral
UAGCUCAGUGGUAGAGCAUAUGCUUAGCACGCACAAGGCCUUGGGUUCAAUCCCCAG